RNAcentral lists this unclassified non-coding RNA (523 nucleotides) under Hevea brasiliensis (rubber tree). The record is from RNAcentral. Lineage: Eukaryota; Viridiplantae; Streptophyta; Magnoliopsida; Malpighiales; Euphorbiaceae.
AAUUGACAAGGAAACUAAAGUCUAUUGCAUUGAUAAGAAAGUAACAUUGUUGGAUCAAUCCUACCGGAAAUUCCAGUCAUGUCAGAAAAGUUCAAAACUCAAUCUCAAGUUGCUUCUUUACCUAAGUCUUAACCCUCAACCUACAUGCUUUCUUAACCAGGACCAAAGCAGAAGUCCAACAAAAAAGAUGACCAAAUGACCAAAGAAAGGUUAAACACAACAAACCAAUAAUAACUCCAAUUAAUGACAGGGUGGUGGUAGAGAUAUCCUACAACAAACACCCACCUAAACUGAAGCUACUUCCAAACAGGUUAUAUCUCUUGGCAUUGGGAAUCAGUAACUACCUAACUUACUACCUAGGAUAUAAUAUAGGUUUCAAAGACAAUCUUCAUAUUAAGUGCCAAAGAUUUUCCCAACCUAAGUACAUUCAUAAAAAAAUUCUAUCAAAUCACACAAUAAUGUUCUGUCGAUAAACAUUUUAAAAAGCCUCAAAACCAACAGUAUUAAUAUUUAUUAAUUCCGA